Molecule: non-coding RNA, 279 nt
Organism: Empidonax traillii (willow flycatcher)
Lineage: Eukaryota; Metazoa; Chordata; Aves; Passeriformes; Tyrannidae
Source: the annotation of a RefSeq genome assembly
AUGGCGCGGCUCCUCUGCCGCCCCUCCGGCUUCACCUUCGGCGACUACGACAUGGUCUGGGUGCGCCAGAGCCCCGGGAAGGGGCUGGAAUGGCUCGCUGGGAUCAACACUGGUGGUACCACCACCUACGCACCGUCGGUGAAGGGCCGGUUCAGCAUGGCCAGGGACAACGGGCAGAGCUCGGUGACGCUGCAGAUGAACAACCUCAGGGACGAGGAUUCCGCCACCUAUUUCUGUGCCAAAGCAUACCCCAAAUUUGAACUGUUGACCCAACUCUAA